This 102-nucleotide non-coding RNA is filed under the name Brevibacillus parabrevis. RNAcentral describes it as "SAM-I sequence". It matches the Rfam family "SAM riboswitch aptamer (S box leader)". Rfam says of the family: The SAM riboswitch is found upstream of a number of genes which code for proteins involved in methionine or cysteine biosynthesis in Gram-positive bacteria. The SAM riboswitch acts at the level of transcription termination control. The predicted structure consists of a complex stem-loop region followed by a single stem loop terminator region. The record is from RNAcentral. Lineage: Bacteria; Bacillati; Bacillota; Bacilli; Caryophanales; Paenibacillaceae.
CUCUUAUCGCGAGCUGGCUGAGGGACUGGCCCUAUGAUGCCCGGCAACCGGCGCUAUUUUUUUCUUGAAUAGCGAAACGGUGCUAAUUCCAACGGAUAAGAG